GGAGCAACAGCACGCAAAACAGAUCCGAGCAUUUCAACAGUGUCCGUCAGUACGCAAAAUUACAAGUGCAAUCGUCCUAAUUUUUUCCACGUCGCACAAUUCAAGAUGUUGCAUUAUAUUUGUGUUUUCUUCUACACCUCAAUGCUCAUCGUAAUGAGAAUAAAGAUGGUUGUAUCAGAUACAGAAAAUAUACUGAUGAACAAAGAAAAUGUAAGCACGUAUAUAUCGGAGCAACCAGAGUUUGUGGCUCAACCAUACGGUGGCCCAGGAUCAUCUCUCGGUAUAACUUACGAUAAAAAAAUUCUAGCCGACAGCUCUGCUCGAAAAUUGUUGAAGACAUUGUCUCUCUCACCUGCGUUUGCAAAAUUUGGAAUGGCCCCAGCGACGGAAUCUAAAUCCAAACCUCUACCUGAGCCAGAAAAAUCAACCAAACCAUUUCGAAUAUCUUUUCCAUUUUGUCAAAACCUAUACCUUCUGUUCCACCUACUCCAUUACCACCUCCUGAGCAGCCUCCUGAAAAGUCAGCAACGCCUAGCAAAGAAAAUUCAGUCAUUCCUCUUGAGCCACAACCGGUUGUAAAGCCAUCCUCUCCAUCUCUUGCACCUCAGACAACUUCAUCGGGCGGAUCUUCAGCAAUAUCUUCAACAUCUUCUCCUAAUGGUGCCGAGAAGUCUCCUUCCCAGUCCAACCUUCCUGUAAGCUCUUCAAGUUCAAGACCAUUUAAGCCGCUUAAAUGGAACUUUAUUCCCUGGUUAAAGGCAACGAAGAAGCCAAGCUCAUCGGUAGCACCUGAACCUCAAAAUCCUCAGGGUACUACCGCUUCCACUCCACCGAACAAGUCAGUAUCUGCAAGUUCAUCAUUUAAGACAGACGAAUCAUUAAAUGGAUCCGAAAGAUUUGCAGAGGCCAAGCUACAAGUAUCCCCUGUAUUACAAAAAUUUUUAAACAACAACAGCAGGUACAGGCAAACAAACCCUCACCCUCCACAGCAGAAACUCCACUGAAAUUGGAUACCCAGCCAGCGCAUAACAAUGCAUCGCCAAACUUUCAAGUAUCCAGUGUUGCGUCAUCUUCUGAAUCAAUAACACCCUCAACAGCAGAGCUUCAGAAACAACCAGCUGCCGACCAUUUAGAAACCCCGCCGCUUCCCCAUCAAAAAGUAAACCCGACUUCACCUUCCCAAGCCGUUGUCUCCGGAGCAACAAGCCAAAGCUCCAGUGAAGGUUUCAGUUCGUCGUCAAAACUCAUCUCACCCGAACGGAAAGGUACCGCUUACACCGCGGCAACACCUGAGCCCGCACCUUUAAAGUCUCCGAAUACUUCAUCAUUAGCAUCCGAGUCCGUUACGCCAGCUGUGUCACCACUACCCUCUCAGUCUA
Molecule: long non-coding RNA, 1379 nt
Filed under: Bemisia tabaci
Lineage: Eukaryota; Metazoa; Arthropoda; Insecta; Hemiptera; Aleyrodidae
Description: lncRNA ENSSSA3NGG007227
Source: RNAcentral